CCUACGGGCGGCAGCAGUGAGGAAUAUUGGUCAAUGGACGAGAGUCUGAACCAGCCAAGUAGCGUGAAGGAUGACUGCCCUAUGGGUUGUAAACUUCUUUUAUAGGGGAAUAAAAUGGUCCAAGUGUGGGAUUUUGUAUGUACCAUAUGAAUAAGGAUCGGCUAACUCCGUGCCAGCAGCCGCGGUAAUACGGAGGAUCCGAGCGUUAUCCGGAUUUAUUGGGUUUAAAGGGAGCGUAGGUGGAUUGGUAAGUCAGUUGUGAAAGUUGCGGCUCAACCGUAAAAUUGCAGUUGAAACUGGCAGUCUUGAGUACAGUAGAGGUGGGCGUAAUUCGUGGUGUAGCGGUGAAAUGCUUAGAUAUCACGAAGAACUCCGAUUGCGAAGGCAGUUCACUGGACUGCAACUGACACUGAGGCUCGAAAGUGUGGGUAUCAAACAGGAUUAGAUACCCCUGUAGUC
RNAcentral lists this ribosomal RNA (459 nucleotides) under uncultured bacterium. Its description in RNAcentral is "partial 16S ribosomal RNA". It matches the Rfam family "Bacterial small subunit ribosomal RNA", at positions 338 to 795 of the family's 1533-position model. The record is from RNAcentral.